CUUUGUACCUGUCAACAGAACCAUCAGCAAGCCGUUUAAUUCGAAAAAUCCACUUACAACCAACAAGAUUCUGCAGAGAAGUAGAUGGAACAAGCUCCCAUGUUCCAUUCCGAACAAGAGCAUCAAAUUCAUCAUUCAUAGCUUGUCUCCAUUUGGGAUCUUUUAGGGCUUGGUUAAUAGUAUGAGGCUCAAUGUCGGAUGGUUGGGGAAGGACAACAGUGAGAGUCAUCUUGGUUAGGGGUUUGUGGAUGUUGUUUUUCGCUCUAGUGGUCAUGGGAUGGGUAUUUUGAUGGGUGGUUUGACCUGUGGUCGAAGUAGAAGAGGUUUCAGAAUUAUGUGGUUCUAGUGGUAAACGGUCAACCGUGGUUUCUUGGCGGUCAACCGAACUGUGUCCGAGUAAAGUGAGGUCUAUGGAUAGAGGUUGACGAUCGACUGGUAAGGAGGGUUGGUCUACUGUUUGAGCAUGUUGUGACGGAUGUUGACACGGGAAAUCCUUUUGUGGAGGUGUAUUGAGUGAGCCACUUGAAAGGGGUAAAAUUUGGACAGGGGGAAGCCAUUUAGAAAUGAUCUCUGGGGUGGGACGAGAUAGAUGGGAUUGGCGAGUGGUAAAGGGAAAAGAGUUUUCAAGAAAUUUAACAUGACGAGAAAUAUAUAUUUUAGAAGUGGACAGAUCAAGA
Molecule: long non-coding RNA, 677 nt
Filed under: Olea europaea subsp. europaea
Lineage: Eukaryota; Viridiplantae; Streptophyta; Magnoliopsida; Lamiales; Oleaceae
Source: RNAcentral